CCUACGGAGGCAGCAGUGGGGAAUUUUGGACAAUGGGCGCAAGCCUGAUCCAGCAAUGCCGCGUGAGUGAAGAAGGCCUUCGGGUUGUAAAGCUCUUUUGUCAGGGAAGAAACGGCUGAGGCUAAUAUCCUCGGCUAAUGACGGUACCUGAAGAAUAAGCACCGGCUAACUACGUGCCAGCAGCCGCGGUAAUACGUAGGGUGCAAGCGUUAAUCGGAAUUACUGGGCGUAAAGCGUGCGCAGGCGGUUUUGUAAGUCUGUCGUGAAAGCCCCGGGCUUAACCUGGGAAUUGCGAUGGAGACUGCAAGGCUUGAAUCUGGCAGAGGGGGGUAGAAUUCCACGUGUAGCAGUGAAAUGCGUAGAGAUGUGGAGGAACACCGAUGGCGAAGGCAGCCCCCUGGGUCAAGAUUGACGCUCAUGCACGAAAGCGUGGGGAGCAAACAGGAUUAGAUACCCUGGUAGUCCACGCCCUAAACGAUGUCUACUAGUUGUCGGGUCUUAAUUGACUUGGUAACGCAGCUAACGCGUGAAGUAGACCGCCUGGGGAGUACGGUCGCAAGNUUAAAACGUUAAAGAGUAGUAGACGUGNGAGAGCGACGACGACGACGACGGAGGGAGGAGG
This 622-nucleotide ribosomal RNA is filed under the name uncultured bacterium. RNAcentral describes it as "bacterial SSU rRNA". It matches the Rfam family "Bacterial small subunit ribosomal RNA", at positions 338 to 957 of the family's 1533-position model. The record is from RNAcentral.